Grus americana (Whooping crane) is the source of this 1722-nucleotide long non-coding RNA. RefSeq lists it as uncharacterized. The transcript has 3 exons. The record is from RefSeq and is a predicted model, not a curated record. NCBI's taxonomy places the organism in Eukaryota, Metazoa, Chordata, Aves, Gruiformes, Gruidae.
GGUGAAGUCCAGAGAGGCAGCAGGUCUCGUGGUCUUUCCUUCUCGUUUCUGACAGAGAAGAGCGGAGCUGGCCGGCUGGUGACGCAGGGACGAUUGCCGCCUGUGGCUCCCGGUGACAAUGAGUUAUCACGAGAAGCCACAUCCAGGAGCUUGAGCUGUGAAGUGAUGAGCAGAACCCUCAGCUGCCCUAUGUGUUUCUCCCUGUAGAUGAAGAUCAGCACAAUGAAGCUGGUUGGUGUCUCCAGCACCCAUCUUUGAAACUUUCACCGCACGCCACUGGGGCCGUGCAGAGGAGGAGCCAGCCCAGCGUCACUGUGUGCCUUCGUUACAAGCGCGUCGAUGUGAAGGUGCUGAGCGACAGGAGAAUUCCGUCCUCCUCCCGCGCGCGCCCGGGUGGGUGCAGGCGGCAAUCCUGCUGCUCCGAGGGAGGAACAUGCUCUGCCGGGCCCUGAAGCAUUUGCUCGCUUCUGAUUACUCUGAGCCAGGUAAUUCUGGAUCAUUGUGAUAAUGUGGAGUAAAUACUGAGGUCCUUUUAAUUCCCCAGCUCACUAAUAGAAGACACUGAUGCAUCGUUCUGAUCCUCUCCCGCUAUUAACCGGCAGGGUAAUCACAAGUGAAAGGGAAGUAUCUCUGUGUAGAUAACGCCUGGCUGUACAGCCCGUGCGCUGCCUGCCUGCGGUUUCUGUUGAAGAGUUUCCAGUGAUCUGGCACAUGAUGAACUGGAAUGAUUUCUGAUUUCACUCCUGACCCCCCUCAUCAUGCAUGCAUAAUUUAGCAAGAAUAAUGAGCCAGAUCAUCGUGUCUGCUGUGACACACCAGCUGAUGAAGUGGCCUAUCAUCUCUGCAGCUGAUAGUGCAUCCUGGUGCGAGCAGUGGUUUGAAUGUCUUGGCUUUUACGGAGAGAACGGUUUUUACUGAAACUUCUGAGUGGAUUUAUUUCUCUUUUCUCCUUGCAUUUGAUGUGAAUUUUAUGCUAAUGCAUUUCAACCCUCUUGAUGUUCCUGUCAAUAUUCCAACUUUCACGUCUUUGCCAGUGAGGAGCAAAUCAAUUAGGCUCCUAAAACUUCACAGGAGUGAUGGUUUCAAAGCAAUUGCUUGUAAACACAUUACUCAAGGAAGAUUAUUAGCAGAAUAUUCAUGGUAUAGGUUUAUCUUCCAGAAGGAAAAAAAUCAGGCUUAAAUAUCUCUGUGUGCUUUAUCUGCCGUACUUUCCCUUUUGGGGCUCUGUAACUACUAUAUGAGAGUCUAAUAUUAUAUAAAAUUCAUCUUGUUGAAGACAGACAUACAUGAAAUAUCUCCCUCAAUUCCGAAUUGUACUGGUUUGGGUUUUUUCCUGUUUUGUUAAACGGCAACUGUGGUAACAGUCUUUUCUGAGGAUGAGGUUUUAAUAGCAGUGUAUCUUAUACCAAUGUUUUCCUAAAAGCAUGAAGUGGAAUUUACACUUAAAUUAUCAUUUGAUUAAAAGUGGGAUUAUGUGAACUCAAGUAAUGAUCUUUCAGCGAGGAGAAUUUCUCUCUCAUCUCUCUGAGGGAAAGCUGGGAGGAACCCUCCUGGAAUAAACAGGGUCACAGUCUCAUUGUAAACCUCCCAUCAUUUUGAGAAGAACUCGGGAUGAUAUUUAUUGGAAAUACAGUGUUGAUACAUGCCUGUAAAGUUACAGUGCAUCCAUUGCCCUUCCUCACGGUGGGCUGCAAAAACCCCUUUAGACCUCUUUUUUGGUAA